UCAAGCUAGAAAGAGCGCAAGGGGAAUGCCUUGGCAUCAGGAGCCGACGAAGGACGUGACAAGCUGCGAUAAGCUGCGGUGAGCUGCACAUAAGCUUUGACCCGCAGAUUUCCGAAUGGGGAAACCCGGCAGAGCAAUACUCUGUCAGCGUGCGUUGAAUCAAAUAGGCGUACGCGGGGAACCGCCUGAACUGAAACAUCUAAGUAGGGCGAGGAAGAGAAAUCAACCGAGAUUCCGCAAGUAGUGGCGAGCGAACGCGGAAGAGGCCAAACCGAGAGUAGUAAUACUUUCGGGGUUCGGACAGCGGACGGUAUGCUGAAGGUUAGCAGAAGGACAUGGGACGGUCCACCAAAGAGAGUGAAAGUCUCGUAUGCGAAAACUGAAAGCAGCCAGCUGAAUCCAGAGUACCGCCGGACACGUGAAACCCGGUGGGAAUAUGGGGGGACCAUCCUCCAAGCCUAAAUACUACCCAGUGACCGAUAGCGUAUAGUACUGUGAAGGAAAGGUGAAAAGAACCCCGGGAGGGGAGUGAAAAGAACCUGAAACCUUGUGCUUACAAGCACACAAAGCACGUCAACGUGUGAUGUGGUACCUUUUGUAGAAUGGUCCGGCGAGUGAAUGUAACUGGCGAGGUUAAGUUCUUAAGGAACGGAGCCGAAGCGAAAGCGAGUCUGAAUAGGGCGUCUUAGUCAGUUGUAUUCGACCCGAAACCGGGUGACCUAUCCAUGUCCAGGAUGAAGUUAAGGUAAAACUUGAUGGAGGUCCGAACCCACGGUCGUUGAAAUGCCCGGGGAUGAGAUGUGGAUAGCGGAGAAAUUCCAAUCGAACCCGGAUAUAGCUGGUUCUCUCCGAAAUAGCUUUAGGGCUAGCCUCGACUGAACAUUACCGGAGGUAGAGCACUGAAUGGGCUAGGGGCCGAGAGGUUACUGAACCCUAUCAAACUUCAAAUGCCGGAAAAUGAUAGUCGGGAGUCAGACUGCGUGAGAUAAGUUUCGUAGUCGAAAGGGAAACAGCCCAGACCCACAGCUAAGGUCCCAAAGUACGGUUAAGUGGAAAAGGAUGUGGAGUUGCACAGACAACCAGGAUGUUGGCUUAGAAGCAGCCACUCAUUAAAAGAGUGCGUAAUAGCUCACUGGUCGAGUGACUCUGCGCCGAAAAUUUAACGGGGCUAAAUCGUACACCGAAGCUUGGGAUGCAUCUAUGAUGCAUGGUAGGAGAGCGUUGAAUGCGGGGUGAAGUCAGAGCGAAAGCGCUGGUGGACUGCAUUGAAGUGAGAAUGCCGGAAUGAGUAGCGAGAUUUAUGUGAGAAUCAUAAAGGCCGAAAGACUAAGGUUUCAGAAGGAAGGUUCGUCCGCUUCUGGUUAGCCGGGAGCUAAGGUGAGGCCGAAAGGCGUAGCCGAUGCACAUACGGUGGAGAUUCCGUAGCCGUCGAAAUAUUUAAGCAAAGGGACACUUAUGAAGGACAUGACCCGGGCGAUGGUAGCCCCGGGCGUAAGGGACUGAAAACAAGUAAGGAAGCAUGUUUGGAUUAAGGCGAGAAAAGCUUUGUGUAUAUAUCAGACGUCCGUACCGCAAACCGACACAGGUAGUCAGGAAGAGGAUUCUAAGGCCAACGGGAGAAGGGUAGUUAAGGAACUCGGCAAAUUGACCCCGUAACUUCGGGAUAAGGGGCGGUGCGUAGGCACCCGCAGUGAAUAGGUCCAGGCGACUGUUUAUCAAAAACACAGCUCUCUGCUAAAUCGAAAGAUGACGUAUAGGGGGUGACACCUGCCCGGUGCUGGAAGGUUAAGAGGAGGAGUGCAAGCUCCGAAUUGAAGCCCCAGUAAACGGCGGCCGUAACUAUAACGGUCCUAAGGUAGCGAAAUUCCUUGUCGGGUAAGUUCCGACCCGCACGAA
RNAcentral lists this ribosomal RNA (1896 nucleotides) under human gut metagenome. RNAcentral's name for it is "bacterial LSU rRNA". It matches the Rfam family "Bacterial large subunit ribosomal RNA", at positions 3 to 1996 of the family's 2925-position model. The record is from RNAcentral.